Molecule: unclassified non-coding RNA, 307 nt
Filed under: plant metagenome
Description: partial contains 5.8S ribosomal RNA, internal transcribed spacer 2, and large subunit ribosomal RNA
Rfam family: 5.8S ribosomal RNA (bases 1-105)
Source: RNAcentral
GAAAUGCGAUAAGUAAUGUGAAUUGCAGAAUUCAGUGAAUCAUCGAAUCUUUGAACGCACAUUGCGCCCGCCAGCACUCUGGCGGGCAUGCCUGUUCGAGCGUCAUUUCAACCCUCAGAACCCCUUGCGGGAUCUGGCGUUGGGGAUUGGCAUCCAGACAGCCCCGAAAUCUAGUGGCGGUCCCUCCGCGACCUCCCCUGUGCAGUAGCGAUACCUCGCAGCGGGACAGCGGUCUGACCACGCCGUAAAACCCCCAACUUCUCAAGGUUGACCUCGAAUCAGGUAGGAAUACCCGCUGAACUUAAGC